RNAcentral lists this ribosomal RNA (258 nucleotides) under uncultured bacterium. RNAcentral's name for it is "partial 16S ribosomal RNA". It matches the Rfam family "Bacterial small subunit ribosomal RNA", at positions 96 to 354 of the family's 1533-position model. The record is from RNAcentral.
CGGCGGACGGGUGAGUAACGCGUGGGUAACCUGCCUCAUACAGGGGGAUAACAGUUAGAAAUGACUGCUAAUACCGCAUAAGCACACAGAACCGCAUGGUUCGGGGUGAAAAGCCGAGACGGUAUGAGAUGGACCCGCGUCUGAUUAGCUAGUUGGAGGGGUAACGGCCCACCAAGGCAACGAUCAGUAGCCGGCCUGAGAGGGUGGACGGCCACAUUGGGACUGAGACACGGCCCAAACUCCUACGGAAGGCAGCAG